This 1369-nucleotide ribosomal RNA is filed under the name uncultured bacterium. RNAcentral's name for it is "bacterial SSU rRNA". It matches the Rfam family "Bacterial small subunit ribosomal RNA", at positions 28 to 1381 of the family's 1533-position model. The record is from RNAcentral.
GACGAACGCUGGCGGCGUGCCUAAUACAUGCAAGUAGAACGCUGAAGAGAGGUGCUUGCUCUUCUUGGAUGAGUUGCGAACGGGUGAGUAACGCGUAGGUAACCUGCCUUGUAGCGGGGGAUAACUAUUGGAAACGAUAGCUAAUACCGCAUAACAAUGGAUGACCCAUGUCAUUUAUUUGAAAGGGGCAAAUGCUCCACUACAAGAUGGACCUGCGUUGUAUUAGCUAGUAGGUGAGGUAACGGCUCACCUAGGCGACGAUACAUAGCCGACCUGAGAGGGUGAUCGGCCACACUGGGACUGAGACACGGCCCAGACUCCUACGGGAGGCAGCAGUAGGGAAUCUUCGGCAAUGGGGGCAACCCUGACCGAGCAACGCCGCGUGAGUGAAGAAGGUUUUCGGAUCGUAAAGCUCUGUUGUAAGUCAAGAACGAGUGUGAGAGUGGAAAGUUCACACUGUGACGGUAGCUUACCAGAAAGGGACGGCUAACUACGUGCCAGCAGCCGCGGUAAUACGUAGGUCCCGAGCGUUGUCCGGAUUUAUUGGGCGUAAAGCGAGCGCAGGCGGUUUGAUAAGUCUGAAGUUAAAGGCUGUGGCUCAACCAUAGUUCGCUUUGGAAACUGUCAAACUUGAGUGCAGAAGGGGAGAGUGGAAUUCCAUGUGUAGCGGUGAAAUGCGUAGAUAUAUGGAGGAACACCGGUGGCGAAAGCGGCUCUCUGGUCUGUAACUGACGCUGAGGCUCGAAAGCGUGGGGAGCGAACAGGAUUAGAUACCCUGGUAGUCCACGCCGUAAACGAUGAGUGCUAGGUGUUGGAUCCUUUCCGGGAUUCAGUGCCGCAGCUAACGCAUUAAGCACUCCGCCUGGGGAGUACGACCGCAAGGUUGAAACUCAAAGGAAUUGACGGGGGCCCGCACAAGCGGUGGAGCAUGUGGUUUAAUUCGAAGCAACGCGAAGAACCUUACCAGGUCUUGACAUCCCGAUGCUAUUUCUAGAGAUAGAAAGUUACUUCGGUACAUCGGUGACAGGUGGUGCAUGGUUGUCGUCAGCUCGUGUCGUGAGAUGUUGGGUUAAGUCCCGCAACGAGCGCAACCCCUAUUGUUAGUUGCCAUCAUUCAGUUGGGCACUCUAGCGAGACUGCCGGUAAUAAACCGGAGGAAGGUGGGGAUGACGUCAAAUCAUCAUGCCCCUUAUGACCUGGGCUACACACGUGCUACAAUGGUUGGUACAACGAGUUGCGAGUCGGUGACGGCAAGCUAAUCUCUUAAAGCCAAUCUCAGUUCGGAUUGUAGGCUGCAACUCGCCUACAUGAAGUCGGAAUCGCUAGUAAUCGCGGAUCAGCACGCCGCGGUGAAUACGUUCCCGGGCCU